UGAGGAAUAUUGGUCAAUGGACGAGAGUCUGAACCAGCCAAGUAGCGUGCAGGAUGACGGCCCUCCGGGUUGUAAACUGCUUUUAGUUGGGAAUAAAAAAGAUGACGUGUCAUCUAUUGUAUGUACCAUCAGAAAAAGGACCGGCUAAUUCCGUGCCAGCAGCCGCGGUAAUACGGAAGGUCCAGGCGUUAUCCGGAUUUAUUGGGUUUAAAGGGAGCGUAGGCGGAGAGAUAAGUCAGCGGUAAAAUCGUGCGGCUCAACCGUACCUCGCCGUUGAUACUGUUUUUCUUGAGUGCACACAGGGAUGCUGGAAUUCGUCGUGUAGCGGUGAAAUGCUUAGAUAUGACGAAGAACUCCGAUCGCGAAGGCAGGUGUCCGGGGUGCAACUGACGCUGAGGCUCGAAAGUGCGGGUAUCAAACAGG
RNAcentral lists this ribosomal RNA (423 nucleotides) under uncultured bacterium. RNAcentral's name for it is "bacterial SSU rRNA". It matches the Rfam family "Bacterial small subunit ribosomal RNA", at positions 355 to 776 of the family's 1533-position model. The record is from RNAcentral. RNAcentral also lists the same sequence under 1 other name.